Molecule: ribosomal RNA, 21 nt
Filed under: Purpureocillium lilacinum
Lineage: Eukaryota; Fungi; Ascomycota; Sordariomycetes; Hypocreales; Ophiocordycipitaceae
Description: partial 28S ribosomal RNA
Source: RNAcentral
ACCUCGGAUCAGGUAGGAAUA